GAUGAACGCUGGCGGCGUGCUUAACACAUGCAAGUCGAACGAAGCACUCUAUUUGAUUUUCUUCGGAGAUGAAGAUUUUGUGACUGAGUGGCGGACGGGUGAGUAACGCGUGGGUAACCUGCCUCAUACAGGGGGAUAACAGUUGGAAACGACUGCUAAUACCGCAUAAGCGCACGGUACCGCAUGGUAUCGUGUGAAAAACUCCGGUGGUAUGAGAUGGACCCGCGUCUGAUUAGCUAGUUGGUGGGGUAACAGCCUACCAAGGCGACGAUCAGUAGCCGACCUGAGAGGGUGACCGGCCACAUUGGGACUGAGACACGGCCCAAACUCCUACGGGAGGCAGCAGUGGGGAAUAUUGCACAAUGGGGGAAACCCUGAUGCAGCGACGCCGCGUGAGCGAAGAAGUAUUUCGGUAUGUAAAGCUCUAUCAGCAGGGAAGAAAAAAUGACGGUACCUGACUAAGAAGCA
RNAcentral lists this ribosomal RNA (468 nucleotides) under uncultured bacterium. RNAcentral's name for it is "bacterial SSU rRNA". It matches the Rfam family "Bacterial small subunit ribosomal RNA", at positions 28 to 492 of the family's 1533-position model. The record is from RNAcentral.